GUGGGGAAUAUUGGGCAAUGGGGGAAACCCUGACCCAGCAACGCCGCGUGAAGGAAGAAGGUUUUCGGAUCGUAAACUUCUAUCCUUGGUGAAGAUAAUGACGGUAGCCAAGAAGGAAGCCCCGGCUAACUACGUGCCAGCAGCCGCGGUAAUACGUAGGGGGCAAGCGUUGUCCGGAAUGAUUGGGCGUAAAGGGCGCGUAGGCGGCCGGGUAAGUCUGGAGUGAAAGUCCUGCUUUUAAGGUGGGAAUUGCUUUGGAUACUGUCGGGCUUGAGUGCAGGAGAGGUAAGCGGAAUUCCCGGUGUAGCGGUGAAAUGCGUAGAGAUCGGGAGGAACACCAGUGGCGAAGGCGGCUUACUGGACUGUAACUGACGCUGAGGCGCGAAAGUGUGGGGAGCAAACAGGAUUAGAUACCCGUGUAGUCC
This 425-nucleotide ribosomal RNA is filed under the name uncultured bacterium. Its description in RNAcentral is "partial 16S ribosomal RNA". It matches the Rfam family "Bacterial small subunit ribosomal RNA", at positions 354 to 796 of the family's 1533-position model. The record is from RNAcentral.